This is a long non-coding RNA of Mauremys mutica (yellowpond turtle), 332 nucleotides long. RefSeq lists it as uncharacterized. The transcript has 3 exons. NCBI's taxonomy places the organism in Eukaryota, Metazoa, Chordata, Testudines, Geoemydidae. The record is from RefSeq and is a predicted model, not a curated record.
GCUUCCAGUCUGAGCAACAAGCGCAAAAAAUCCAGCAGCUGGAAGCAGAACUAAAAACAGCCAGAGACUUCCUGAAGGAGAGCCAGAAUUACGCUGAAGAGAUGAAAAAGAAGACUUUAUCUCAGGAAAUAGAAUUGAAAGAGAAACAAGCUGAGAUUACCCAUCUGCAGCUGUCUGCAGCUGAGUUGGCUUCUUUAAAAAAGGAAAUGAUUAACAUCAAGGCUCAGCAAAAGACACUGAAAGAGCAACUUAAUAUCACACUUCACGAAAAUGAGCAACUGAGCAAGCUAGACAGUCUGAAGGCUUUAGAUCAACAGAAGAAGCAAAAUGGA